RNAcentral lists this ribosomal RNA (386 nucleotides) under Staphylococcus aureus. RNAcentral's name for it is "bacterial SSU rRNA". It matches the Rfam family "Bacterial small subunit ribosomal RNA", at positions 220 to 598 of the family's 1533-position model. The record is from RNAcentral. Lineage: Bacteria; Bacillati; Bacillota; Bacilli; Caryophanales; Staphylococcaceae.
UAUAGAUGGAUCCGCGCUGCAUUAGCUAGUUGGUAAGGUAACGGCUUACCAAGGCAACGAUGCAUAGCCGACCUGAGAGGGUGAUCGGCCACACUGGAACUGAGACACGGUCCAGACUCCUACGGGAGGCAGCAGUAGGGAAUCUUCCGCAAUGGGCGAAAGCCUGACGGAGCAACGCCGCGUGAGUGAUGAAGGUCUUCGGAUCGUAAAACUCUGUUAUUAGGGAAGAACAUAUGUGUAAGUAACUGUGCACAUCUUGACGGUACCUAAUCAGAAAGCCACGGCUAACUACGUGCCAGCAGCCGCGGUAAUACGUAGGUGGCAAGCGUUAUCCGGAAUUAUUGGGCGUAAAGCGCGCGUAGGCGGUUUUUUAAGUCUGAUGUGAA